Long non-coding RNA from Piliocolobus tephrosceles (Ugandan red Colobus), 348 nucleotides. RefSeq lists it as uncharacterized. The transcript has 2 exons. The record is from RefSeq and is a predicted model, not a curated record. NCBI's taxonomy places the organism in Eukaryota, Metazoa, Chordata, Mammalia, Primates, Cercopithecidae.
CCACCCUACUUUCUCAUUCUGAAAAAAAAAAAUACUUAUACAUUUCAAAUUUGUUGUGGCACCUCAGAAUAGAAGGUCAGUGGUGACCAUGGGACAGAGCUAGAAGAAACAUCAGUACCCGUGAAAGAAAAUUGUUGUGCAUUACAAGUGGGAGUUGCUGACAUGAACAGAAGAAAGGAGGAGAGAAGAGUGGUGACGAUGCUGAUUGGUUGCAGUCAAUCUGCAUAUCUAUUAUGCUGAAGCUGGCUCAGUAGGAGUGGAUGAACACAGUAUUGAAUCCAUUGGAACUAACCUGGCCUUUAAAAAAAAAAAAAUGUUCCUAGAUGGAAAUAAUAAUGGAUUUGAAAA